RNAcentral lists this ribosomal RNA (102 nucleotides) under Acidimicrobiaceae bacterium. RNAcentral describes it as "partial 23S ribosomal RNA". It matches the Rfam family "Bacterial large subunit ribosomal RNA", at positions 2823 to 2925 of the family's 2925-position model. The record is from RNAcentral. Lineage: Bacteria; Bacillati; Actinomycetota; Acidimicrobiia; Acidimicrobiales; Acidimicrobiaceae.
ACCGGGUAAGGCCCGUGGCAGACCACCACGUUGAUAGGCCGGAAGUGUAAGCACAGCAAUGUGUUCAGCUGACCGGUACUAAUCGGCCGAGGGCUUGAUUUA